Molecule: long non-coding RNA, 283 nt
Organism: Helianthus annuus (common sunflower)
Lineage: Eukaryota; Viridiplantae; Streptophyta; Magnoliopsida; Asterales; Asteraceae
Exons: 3
Source: RefSeq, a predicted model, not a curated record
CGCAUCAUUCUUUCUCAUUCACGCUUUCAUUCAAGCUUACAAAACCCUAAUUGAUUCAGUUCUGGAUUUCCAACGAGCGAUGAUUGAAGUAGAGAUCUCUAAAGCAAUGGUGUGGUAACUCAAGUGACGGCGACGGCGGUGGUGGUGCAAUCAUUUCGAUUCAACCAACCAUCUGGAAAAAAAAUACCUGAAUCAAAGAAUUGUUUGAAAAUAUUGGAAAGUUGGGGUAAAGUUUGAUUCAAUUGAAAGGCUGAAUCUUGGAAUCCUGAUGGGAAUUUGUAAA